AGGAAAAGAAACUAACAAGGAUUCCCCUAGUAACUGCGAGUGAAGCGGGAAAAGCUCAAAUUUAAAAUCUGGCGGUCUCCGGCCGUCCGAGUUGUAAUCUAGAGAAGUGUUAUCCGCGCUGGACCGUGUACAAGUCUCCUGGAAUGGAGCGUCAUAGAGGGUGAGAAUCCCGUCUUUGACACGGACUGCCAGGGCUUUGUGAUGCGCUCUCAAAGAGUCGAGUUGUUUGGGAAUGCAGCUCAAAAUGGGUGGUAAAUUCCAUCUAAAGCUAAAUAUUGGCGAGAGACCGAUAGCGAACAAGUACCGUGAGGGAAAGAUGAAAAGAACUUUGGAAAGAGAGUUAAACAGUACGUGAAAUUGCUGAAAGGGAAACGCUUGAAGUCAGUCGCGUUGGCCGGGGAUCAACCUUGCUUUUGCUGGGCGUACUUUCCGGUCGACGGGUCAGCAUCAAUUUUGACCGUUGGAUAAAGUCCAGGGGAAUGUGGCAUCUUCGGAUGUGUUAUAGCCCUUGGUCGCAUACAACGGUUGGGAUUGAGGAACUCAGCACGCCGCAAGGCCGGGUACUUGUACCACGUUCGUGCUUAGGAUGCUGGCAUAAUGGCUUUAAUCGACCCGUCUUGAAACACGGACCAAGGAGUCUAACAUGCCUGCGAGUGUUUGGGUGGAAAACUCGGACGCGUAAUGAAAGUGAAAGUUGAGAUCCCUGUCGCGGGGAGCAUCGACGCCCGGACCAGACCUUUUGUGACGGAUCCGCGGUAGAGCAUGUAUGUUGGGACCCGAAAGAUGGUGAACUAUGCCUGAAUAGGGUGAAGCCAGAGGAAACUCUGGUGGAGGCUCGUAGCGAUUCUGACGUGCAAAUCGAUCGUCAAAUUUGGGUAUAGGGGCGAAAGACUAAUCGAUCCAUCUAGUAGCUGGUUCCUGCCAAAGUUUCCCUCAGGA
Molecule: ribosomal RNA, 939 nt
Filed under: Hebeloma crustuliniforme
Lineage: Eukaryota; Fungi; Basidiomycota; Agaricomycetes; Agaricales; Hymenogastraceae
Description: eukaryotic LSU rRNA
Rfam family: Eukaryotic large subunit ribosomal RNA
Source: RNAcentral